AAUGAACGCUGGCGGCGCGCCUAAUACAUGCAAGUCGAGCGAGAAGACGUAGCAAUACGUUUGUAAAGCGGCGAACGGGUGAGGAAUACAUGGGUAACCUACCCUCGAGUGGGGAAUAACUAGCCGAAAGGUUAGCUAAUACCGCGUACGCUCCUUGGACUUCGGUUCAGGGAGGAAAGCGAUACCGUGGGUAUCGCGCUCGUUGGUUGGGCUCAUGUCCUAUCAGUCUUGUUGGUGAGGUAACGGCUCACCAAGGCUUCGGACGGGUAGCUGGUCUGAGAGGACGAUCAGCCACAC
RNAcentral lists this ribosomal RNA (297 nucleotides) under uncultured bacterium. RNAcentral's name for it is "partial 16S ribosomal RNA". It matches the Rfam family "Bacterial small subunit ribosomal RNA", at positions 29 to 313 of the family's 1533-position model. The record is from RNAcentral.